RNAcentral lists this ribosomal RNA (903 nucleotides) under uncultured Bacillota bacterium. RNAcentral's name for it is "bacterial SSU rRNA". It matches the Rfam family "Bacterial small subunit ribosomal RNA", at positions 1 to 917 of the family's 1533-position model. The record is from RNAcentral. Lineage: Bacteria; Bacillati; Bacillota.
UGGAUCCAGACUUUGAUUCUGGCUCAGGACGAACGCUGGCGGCGUGCCUAACACAUGCAAGUCGAACGGAGCUCCGCCCUUCGGGACGGAACUUAGUGGCGAACGGGUGAGUAACGCGUGAAGAACCUGCCUUUCAGUGGGGGACAACAGUCGGAAACGACUGCUAAUACCGCAUGAUGUUCUUUGGGGGCAUCUCUAAGGAACCAAAGCUUAAUGUGCUGAAAGAUGGCUUCGCGUCUGAUUAGCUAGUUGGCGGGGUAACGGCCCACCAAGGCGACGAUCAGUAGCCGGUCUGAGAGGAUGAACGGCCACAUUGGGACUGAGAUACGGCCCAGACUCCUACGGGAGGCAGCAGUGGGGAAUAUUGGGCAAUGGGGGAAACCCUGACCCAGCAACGCCGCGUGAAGGAAGAAGGCCUUCGGGUUGUAAACUUCUUUUACCAGGGACGAAGGACGUGACGGUACCUGGAGAAAAAGCAACGGCUAACUACGUGCCAGCAGCCGCGGUAAUACGUAGGUUGCAAGCGUUGUCCGGAUUUACUGGGUGUAAAGGGCGUGUAGGCGGAGGCGCAAGUUGGGAGUGAAAUCUAUGGGCUCAACCCAUAAACUGCUCUCAAAACUGUGCCCCUUGAGUAUCGGAGAGGCAAGCGGAAUUCCUAGUGUAGCGGUGAAAUGCGUAGAUAUUAGGAGGAACACCAGUGGCGAAGGCGGCUUGCUGGACGACAACUGACGCUGAGGCGCGAAAGCGUGGGGAGCAAACAGGAUUAGAUACCCUGGUAGUCCACGCUGUAAACGAUGAAUACUAGGUGUGGGAGGACUGACCCCUUCCGUGCCGCAGUUAACACAAUAAGUAUUCCACCUGGGGAGUACGACCGCAAGGUUGCAACUCAAAUGAAUUGACGGA